This 648-nucleotide ribosomal RNA is filed under the name soil fungal sp. DM2-309. RNAcentral describes it as "eukaryotic LSU rRNA". It matches the Rfam family "Eukaryotic large subunit ribosomal RNA", at positions 147 to 824 of the family's 3401-position model. Lineage: Eukaryota; Fungi. The record is from RNAcentral.
AAUUUGCAGAGGAUGCUUUUGGCGCGGUGCCUUCCGAGUUCCCUGGAACGGGACGCCAUAGAGGGGGAGAGCCCCGUCUGGUCGGACACCAAGCCAGUGUAAAGCUCCUUCGACGAGUCGAGUAGUUUGGGAAUGCUGCUCUAAAUGGGAGGUAUAUGUCUUCUAAAGCUAAAUACCGGCCAGAGACCGAUAGCGCACAAGUAGAGUGAUCGAAAGAUGAAAAGCACUUUGAAAAGAGGGUUAAACAGUACGUGAAAUUGUUGAAAGGGAAGCGCUUGUGACCAGACUUGGGCCCGGUGAAUCAUCCAGCGUUCUCGCUGGUGCACUUCGCCGGGCUCAGGCCAGCAUCAGUUCGCCGCGGGGGAUAAAAGCUUCNGGAACGUGGCCCCCUCGGGGGUGUUAUAGCCCGUUGCACAAUACCCUGCGGUGGACUGAGGUUCGCGCUCCGCAAGGAUGCUGGCGUAAUGGUCAUCAGCGACCCGUCUUGAAACACGGACCAAGGAGUCGUCUUCGUAUGCGAGUGUUCGGGUGUCAAACCCCUACGCGUAAUGAAAGUGAACGCAGGUGAGAGCUUCGGCGCAUCAUCGACCGAUCCUGAUGUUCUCGGAUGGAUUUGAGUAAGAGCAUACGGGGCCGGACCCGAAAGAA